RNAcentral lists this long non-coding RNA (817 nucleotides) under Homo sapiens (human). RNAcentral's name for it is "HSALNT0381624". The record is from RNAcentral. Lineage: Eukaryota; Metazoa; Chordata; Mammalia; Primates; Hominidae.
UCUCCUAAGUGUUCCAGAAGUUUCCUUCCAGCCUCAAGCAUACCCCUCUUUCCACGCAGGAGGUGGACUUGUCUGCCGGGCCAUUUCCUUCCCACCUAAGCUCCUGCCAGAUGGCUCCCAGUUGCUGUGUUUGAGCCCAGGCUGACCACUUCCUAGGCAGUGGCGUUGGAGAUGGGUGUGGCCUUGCCUCCAGGAUCUCCUCACAGCUUGUGCUUCCUGACAGCUGUGGACACUUGGGCUGACUGCAGACCUCCCGCUACCCUGAUUUCCAGCAAGAAAGAACUAUUCCUUCCAGCCCAGAACACUGUCUCUGAACAGCAAGAUGGCUUUGAAACGCUUUCACAACGAAGGUGUGCUCCACUGGGCACCACAACAUACGGUUCAGACGUUUAAAGCCUGUCUCAGCCCAAUUUCCUCUCCAUUUGCUCCCUGGGUAAGGUAUCCCCCCUUCAGUGCAGGCAGAACUGGCGACUUGCUUCUAAUCAACAAAAUAUGGCAAAGGUAAGAAAUUGCUGCCUCCAUGAUUAGGUUGUUUAACAGUGUGACUUCCAUCUUGCUAGCAGACUGUCCCUUUGAUGAAUCAAGUGACCACAUUUUGGAGAUACUUGUGUAGCAAGAAACUGAUGGUGGCUUCUGUCCAACAGCAAGCAAAGAAAUAAAUCCUGCUGACAAUCAAGUAAGAAAGCUUGAAGUUGGAUUUUUCCCCAGUCAAACCUUCAGAGGAGAUGCAGCCCUGGCUGACACCAUGUUUGUAGAGACCCCAGUGCAGAGGAUCCAGAUAAGCUGCCCCUGUAUUUCUGACCCAUAGAAACUGAGA